CACGGGGGGAGCAAGCGUUGUUCGGAAUCACUGGGCGUAAAGGGCGUGUAGGCGGUCAGGUAAGUGAGACGUGAAAUGCCCCGGCUUACCCGGGGACCUGCGUCUCAUACUGCUUGGCUUGAGUACGGGAGAGGGUGUGGGAAUUCCUGGUGUAGCGGUGAAAUGCGUAGAUAUCUGGAGGAAUACCGGUGGCGAAGGCGGCAUCCUGGACCGGCAUUGACGCUGAGGAGCGAAAGCCAGGGGAGCAAACGGG
RNAcentral lists this ribosomal RNA (253 nucleotides) under uncultured bacterium. RNAcentral describes it as "partial 16S ribosomal RNA". It matches the Rfam family "Bacterial small subunit ribosomal RNA", at positions 524 to 776 of the family's 1533-position model. The record is from RNAcentral.